AUGCACGCUGGCGGCGUGCCUAAUCCAUGCAAGUCGCGCGAACAGACGAGGAGCUUGCUCCUCUGACGUUAGCGGCGGACGGGUGAGUAACACGUGGAUAACCUACCUAUAAGACUGGGAUAACUUCGGGAAACCGGAGCUAAUACCGGAUAAUAUAUUGAACCGCAUGGUUCAAUAGUGAAAGACGGUUUUGCUGUCACUUAUAGAUGGAUCCGCGCCGCAUUAGCUAGUUGGUAAGGUAACGGCUUACCAAGGCGACGAUGCGUAGCCGACCUGAGAGGGUGAUCGGCCACCCUGGAACUGAGACACGGUCCAGACUCCUACGGGAGGCAGCAGUAGGGAAUCUUCCGCAAUGGGCGAAAGCCUGACGGAGCAACGCCGCGUGAGUGAUGAAGGUCUUCGGAUCGUAAAACUCUGUUAUUAGGGAAGAACAAAUGUGUAAGUAACUAUGCACGUCUUGACGGUACCUAAUCAGAAAGCCACGGCUAACUACGUG
This 496-nucleotide ribosomal RNA is filed under the name uncultured bacterium. RNAcentral describes it as "partial 16S ribosomal RNA". It matches the Rfam family "Bacterial small subunit ribosomal RNA", at positions 29 to 507 of the family's 1533-position model. The record is from RNAcentral.